UCGGGAAUAUUGCGCAAUGGAGGAAACUCUGACGCAGUGACGCCGCGUGCAGGAAGAAGGUUUUCGGAUUGUAAACUGCUUUAGACAGGGAAGAAAAAAGACAGUACCUGUAGAAUAAGCUCCGGCUAACUACGUGCCAGCAGCCGCGGUAAUACGUAGGGAGCAAGCGUUAUCCGGAUUUAUUGGGUGUAAAGGGUGCGUAGACGGAGAAGCAAGUUAGUUGUGAAAUCCCUCGGCUUAACUGAGGAACUGCAACUAAAACUACUUCCCUUGAGUGCUGGAGAGGAAAGUGGAAUUCCUAGUGUAGCGGUGAAAUGCGUAGAUAUUAGGAGGAACACCAGUGGCGAAGGCGACUUUCUGGACAGUAACUGACGUUGAGGCACGAAAGUGUGGGGAGCAAACAGGAUAGAUACCC
This 415-nucleotide ribosomal RNA is filed under the name uncultured bacterium. Its description in RNAcentral is "bacterial SSU rRNA". It matches the Rfam family "Bacterial small subunit ribosomal RNA", at positions 355 to 787 of the family's 1533-position model. The record is from RNAcentral.